UUUGACUUCAGAUUGUAUAAUUGGAUUUGGGGAUUAGGGUUUUUGGGUUUAAUUGGAUUUGGGGAUUAGACUCUCUUGUCGAAUCUUGCUUAUUAUUUGGAACACGGUUGUGUGUAAUUGUUUUGUCUGAAAAUCUUCUUUUACAUUUAAAAAAAAUGUUUUUUGUUUUGGAUAAUGUUUGUCCUUUAGGUGUCAUUGGAUUUUAGAUAGGUCUCGUGUGUCAUUGAUUUUGCUUGUUUGUCUGGAGACUUGAGGACAUGAUCUUUGAUAUAAUUUAAAGUGUUUCAAAUCUGUUUUGGAAUUUGUUACAGGUUGGAAGUUUUUGAUCAUACGAAGUUUGAUAAGUAGGUGAGGAAAGUAGCUGUCUCUGCAAUAGUACCAAGCUUGAAGCUUUAUGAAAAGCUCACUCUUGGAUGGAGCAUUCAUCUGAGCCAGGACAAGGACAAUAUGAUCAAGAUGGGGUUGGAUGUGAAGGGUUGGAGAGUGGUGGAUGUUCUUUCUCCAUAGAGUAUGUUUCUUUUGUUGGGGAACAACCUGAAUCAACACUCCCAUCUAUGUCAAGCUUUACCUUCUUUAGUCCGAGCCCAGCGACGACACAGAACAACAACACUCAUGAAACAAAUGAGAAACUUCGAGGGAGUAAGCAAAAGUCCAGUAAAAAUAACACUGCAGCUUGAGGAAAUCCAGUGCUGCUCACUUAUCCUGAACCCAUUGAUGCUGCAGUCAUCCCGGGACAAGAAUUCAUGCUUCAGUUGGUGAACAGCUGAUCAAAAAGUAUGAAGACAGACUAACUGAAGGAGAUGCGGUGGUCGUCCAUUUAUUCAAAGUGUACGAUGCUAUUGGUGAUUAUCAGAUAACCACACAUCCGUACAAAAUUGGUUUUUUCAGACAACUUUUGUUGGAAAAGCUAAUGAUAUUAUAACUUUUUAUCAUAUUUUAUCAACUUUUGUCGGAAUAUUCCAUAGUCAACGAUCAAUAACAGAGAUAAAAGAUCGAUUAUAGUUGACUACAAAGCAGUUUUCAGACUAUUUCGAUAAUGGUUUCUAUUGGAUUUUUUUAAUCAAGAAUUGUACUUUUAAUUUAUAUUAUUUAUGGAUUAUAUUAUAACUUUUUAUCAUAUUUUAGUUGACUGGUGCAAACUUCGUCAGUGUUUAUGGUUCAAACUUCCUCAGUGUUUAUGG
Molecule: long non-coding RNA, 1181 nt
Organism: Brassica oleracea var. oleracea
Lineage: Eukaryota; Viridiplantae; Streptophyta; Magnoliopsida; Brassicales; Brassicaceae
Exons: 6
Source: RefSeq, a predicted model, not a curated record